GAUGAACGCUGGCGGCGUGCUUAACACAUGCAAGUCGAACGGAGUGCCUUUGAAAGAGGAUUCGUCCAAUUGAUAAGGUUACUUAGUGGCGGACGGGUGAGUAACGCGUGAGGAACCUGCCUUGGAGUGGGGAAUAACACAGUGAAAAUUGUGCUAAUACCGCAUAAUGCAGUUGGGCCGCAUGGCUCUGACUGCCAAAGAUUUAUUGCCUUUGGAUGAGCUCGCGUCUGAUUAGAUAGUUGGCGGGUAACGGCCCACCAAGUCGACGAUCAGUAGCCGGACUGA
This 285-nucleotide ribosomal RNA is filed under the name uncultured bacterium. RNAcentral describes it as "partial 16S ribosomal RNA". It matches the Rfam family "Bacterial small subunit ribosomal RNA", at positions 28 to 295 of the family's 1533-position model. The record is from RNAcentral.